RNAcentral lists this ribosomal RNA (387 nucleotides) under uncultured bacterium. RNAcentral's name for it is "bacterial SSU rRNA". It matches the Rfam family "Bacterial small subunit ribosomal RNA", at positions 29 to 417 of the family's 1533-position model. The record is from RNAcentral.
AUUGAACGCUGGCGGAAUGCUUUACACAUGCAAGUCGAGCGGCAGCGCGGGGGCAACCCUGGCGGCGAGCGGCGAACGGGUGAGUAAUGCAUCGGAACGUACCUAGUCGUGGGGGAUAACGUGGCGAAAGUCACGCUAAUACCGCAUACGUCCUGAGGGAGAAAGCAGGGGAUCGCAAGACCUUGCGCGAUUGGAGCGGCCGAUGUCUGAUUAGCUAGUUGGUGGGGUAAAGGCCUACCAAGGCGACGAUCAGUAGCUGGUCUGAGAGGACGAUCAGCCACACUGGGACUGAGACACGGCCCAGACUCCUACGGGAGGCAGCAGUGGGGAAUUUUGGACAAUGGGCGAAAGCCUGAUCCAGCCAUUCCGCGUGAGUGAAGAAGGCCU